Molecule: long non-coding RNA, 4505 nt
Filed under: Homo sapiens (human)
Lineage: Eukaryota; Metazoa; Chordata; Mammalia; Primates; Hominidae
Description: non-protein coding MAGI2-AS3:43
Source: RNAcentral
AGAUCACACCACUGCACUCCAGCCUGGUGAGAGAGGGAGACUGCAUUCUCAAAAAAAAAAAAAAAAAAAAAAAAAAAAAAAAAAAAGAAUAUAUAUGAAUUCUUACUGAUAGUAUUAAAUGAUUAUCUCUUUACAUUCACAGUAAUGUCUUACAAUAACAGAAUGCAGGAGAGCACAUAUCAAUGAAGAAAAGACAAAAUGUACUUAUCCAUGAAGCUGAGGUUAAGAAACCAGUGUCUUCAAGAGCCAGGGACAGCACUGGGUCUGUGCAGAGUUGAGAGAUGGUGAUGACAUGUGGUUUCCAGCAUUCCUCACCCAGUCCAGGGACACUGUGGGUGUGCCCAGCUUAAGUCCAGUAACUGGAAAUACAAGCCCAAGUUCUGGAGAGUUUGAGCUGCAGAGAUAUAUAUGGGAACACUUUGAAUCUUGACUCAUUGGCCAUAACCAGCAGAGUGGAAAAUACAAGAAGAGAAAAAAACAUUGAACUGCGAUUUUAUAACAUCCUUUACUAGGCAGAGAGAAGAGGAAACACCAGGAAAGAAAACUGUAUUACGAUGUGAAAACUUAAUGUUGAGAAAUUCAGGCAUCUUGGGGUUAGUGAGGAGAAGUUUUAGGGGCUUAGAUUCUUCUAAACACAUGUACAGAAAUGCAUAUUUCAUCUGAUAUCAAAUGGCAUUUAUAGUGCUAAUCUUUACCUCAAGACUUCACAUCUUUUGGUGAUUGCAUCUUUUAGGUUUAUAGCAGCUAAGUUUGCAUGAAAACACCAGGGCUGUUUCAUUUCAGUCAAGAAUUAAUGUUCAUUGAUUGUGCUUCUGCAUUUCAUGUAACUAUUGUAGAAUUUGUUUUAGUUUUAUGAGGGAAUAAUUGUUCCAACUUCUAUAUAACUCAGGAAUUUACUCUCAAACAACACUGUCAAUUAGUUACUUAUCUCUCUGGAAAUGAUCUGGGAACAUGGAGAGGAAAGGGAGGAAGGGGCAAAAUCUGACCACUUAAAUCUAAGCAUAUUAGAUCAUUUUAUGCUAGAAAGUCCUGAAUGAUGUGACUUUCGUUCUUGUAAAACACCUCUUUCCAUAGAUUCAUGGCCCAAACAGUAUAUAAAGAGUGGGGAAGGAACUGCAUUUGCAAAUAGUUCAAAUCAUUGCUCCAUCUUAACUACGCAGUUCACAAAGUGUGAAGAAAUGUGAUCAUCUCAAAAAAGAUAAUGGGGAAAAAAUAUGUUUUGUUCUGUGACUUUAAAGUCUUGCAAUAUUUUACAUAAAUGAUAAUGGGUGCUUUAAUAAGAACUCUUGAUACUUUUGUUAUUGUAUUCAAUAUAUGCAUAUAAUACAACAGGAUGAUAUUGUUUUGGAUUUGGAAAUGUAUUCUUUCUUAUGCAAUCUUAUGCAGUCAUACUGCUUGAAUAUCAUUACCUGAAUUUAUCUUUCUUUUUUUUGUUGUUGUUUUACACUCUACUUAUUUGGUGCCUGUCAGUCUUUUGUCGUCAGUUUAUAUUCUACUAAACUCAAAAAGACAAUCUCAUACCUUUUGUAAUUGUAGGCAUUCUUUACUAGAUUUUUAAAUACACUUCAAAAAUUCAAGUACUUUGAUUUCAUGCCAUCAAGUAGCUGAAUCUAUCCCCCCGUCUCUUUUUAAAUUUAAGUGAGUAGUUCAAUUUCUGUCACUUUCUACUUUGUGAAUUCUAAAUCUUUUAAAACCAUCUUGCCAUUUUUCGUGCACUUACCCUUACAGAAAACUCUGUGAAACACUACUUAUCUCUACUUUUAUGUUUUUAACUCCUUUUUUAUAUUACUAUUCCCUCUGCUUUCUAAAUGCACAUAUUAAUUUGUUCUUUUUAUUCUCUGUAGCUCUUCUCAGUGUAUGAAUUCAGUUUCCCAUCAGUCUCCAUACAAUUAAAAAAAAGUUGAGUAUUCUGUUAUUUUAAUAAGAUAUCUAGUGCCCAUAUUCUAAUUCUGCCCCUUAUUUUUAAUAUAAUUUUAUUGUUGAUUUAAAAUGACAACAGUUUCAAUUCCCAGAAAGUGAAAGGAAACAAAGGAAUAAUAUUAUAGGCUUAAUUUUUAUCAGUGAACUUGUAGGUGAAGAAAAGAUUUGGGGAAGGAAAUGAACAUAUUAUAUUGCAAAAUAGUAAGGAACAAUCAGAUGUGUUUUCUAGUCUCUGGAAAAGCAUGUUUCAAGAAAUUCAAUGAAAAGUUCAUCAUGCUUGCUUAGAUUGUUGAGAAGCAAAAACACUGAUGAACAUUUGGAAGCAAUGAGAAUGUAAUUCUAAUCAUACUCUUUUAAUAAUGUUGCAAAACUCUCCAAACACUACUCUGUGUGGAUGUCUUUCAGAAUAUGAUGAAUACUAGUAGUCUUAUUCUGCCCUUUUCUCUCUAUCACAAUAUAUACAUUCUAUAUUGCAUACACAUAUUUUCCAAAUAUUACAUAUAAUUUCAUGUAAUUUAUAGACCUAUUAAGGCCCAACCAUUUUCUUGGAUAGGGGAUUCUUUAGAAGUCCAGCUUAAAUAAAGCCCGUAUAGAAAGUUUUUUUAAAAUUUAUACAUAAUCACCUAAAGUAACCUUAUCUACUGAACUCUUAGUACAUGCUACUGGAACCUUUUAUCAUGUUUCUUCCUGGCUUGCAUUACAACACUGUUGACAUAUCUCAGCCUUACUUCUAGGCUUCUUUGAGAGCAUGACUCAUGUUUGUAUUCCUCACUGAGGUUGAAUGAAUAAGAGAAACUACAGUAGUAGGAAAAAACAGUACAUGUACAUAUCAAUGAAUAUGAAAGGGUCAAAUGGAUCUAUUAUAGUAAGCACAAAAUCAACUGACACCAGCAAAGUAAACCCAAAAUUUUUAAUGGUAUUUUAAUAGAUCAAGAGGAGCAAGCAGAUUUUUGAGACAGUUGUCUCCUACUUUCUCUAUCACAGGGAGUAAUUUUAAAAGAAAAAUGGAGGGUAAGUUUCUUUAAGAGAAAAUUGUAGUUUAAAACAGGUCAUGGGAUAAUUAGAAAUAAUUUAAUUUCUUUAGAGGAUUUUAAUCUUUCAACUGCUUGCAAUUAGAUCCUAAGGCAAUAAAAGAAUAAGGAGAUUUGGAAAACCAUUGUCUGUAAUCUCUGAAGAAAAGUGGACAUUAGGGGAGUCAGUUGAAAAGCAAAGCUAUCACCAUUUUCUAAAGAGGAAAAAGGUGAACCUCACAAACUAUAGACCAAAAAAAUAGGACAUCGAGAGAAAGAAUAUGAAGCUAGCAUAGGUUCACAAAGAAUGAGUCAAAUCAAACAACAUGCAUUUUUUAUUUAUAAAGCAUGACUUGUUCAUUGUCAAUUCAUGUUAGCUUAAUCAUUAGGCAUUAAUGCCAUCACUGCAAUGCAUAUGUCAGCAAUAAAUAAUCAAAGACCAGGCUUCCAUCAUUCUGUUUAAUAUCUUCAAGUAAUGCUUAAGUUUGCAAAUGCUCUUUUAACACAUUCUCCAUAUGCAGCCUGCCCAGCACUGCACACAAUAGACCUGUUACUUCCCCCUCACGAGCACUCCUAAUAUUUCAUGUGCUCAUCCAAUUGACUUCUCCCACUGGUGCCUCAUAUUGAAUUUGUAGAAUCACACCUGCUCCUUUUUCAAAACUCUUCUGAGUUUUUUCUUAAAUAAUUCACUGACCCCAAAGUUGUCAGAUAUUUGAAGACUACUCGCACAAUUUUAAUAUUAUAAAUGUAUAAUGUAAAUGUAAUUAAGAUUUGUAUAAUGUACGAUGUACUUUGGUAAAUAAAAGUAUGCUGUGAAUAAAUACGUAUGAUACAAUUCAAAAUUUUACAUAAAUAUGUGAUAAAAUUUAGCUCAUAUUCUUUUUUUUUUUCUUUGAGACGGAGUCUCACUCUGUUGCACCCAGGCUAGAGUGCAGCAGCAUGAUCUCAGCUCACUGCAACCUCUACCUCCUGGGUUCAAACAAUUCUCCUGCCUCAGCCUCCUGAGUAGCUGGGAUUACAGGUGCCCGCCACCAUGCCCAGCUAAUUUUUUUCUAUUUUUGUUGUUGUUGUUGUUUUUAGUAGAGACGGGGUUUCACCAUGUUGGUCAGGCUGGUCUUGAACUCCUGACCUCAGAUAAUCCACCUGCCUCGGCCUCCCAAAGUUCUGGGAUUACAGACGUGAACCACGGUGCCCGGCCUAGUUCAUGUUCUUUAAGGACAAUUAUGAAUAUUUUUAUGCACUGUUAAUUUUCAUUAAGAUAUUGAUCAAUUAAUAGCUAUAUAUGUUCUAUAAAUUAAUCCUAUCUAGUUUCAAUCUUAAAUUGUUUGCAUAUACCAAUCUAGUUUAUUGUUUGCAUAUAUUUUAUAGUGUAGAGAUUAGGCAUUUUAAUAAAAUUUUAAAAUUUCCAGGACAUACUGUUAAUGACUAUGCUUCCUACUAUAGGCCAUAAUUAAUUUUUUUCUAUUGUCAACAAUAUUUUGGUAGGGAUGAUCAGGAAAUAAGGAAAUGUUUCCUUCAUUUGUUAACAAUAGGUGUUUGGGGAUUUUAAAAUGAAAAUUGAAGAAGUAAAAGACA